UGGGGAAUUUUGCGCAAUGGGCUAACGCCUGACGCAGCAACGCCGCGUGGAGGAUGAAGGUCUUUGGAUUGUAAACUCCUGUCAGCGGGGAAAAAGCAACCGGACCUCAUACGUACGGAAGUUGAUUGUACCCGCAGAGGAAGCCCCGGCUAACUCUGUGCCAGCAGCCGCGGUAAUACAGAGGGGGCAAGCGUUAUUCGGAAUUAUUGGGCGUAAAGGGCGCGUAGGCGGCUUGGCAAGUGGAAGGUGAAAUCCCUCGGCUUAACCGAGGAACUGCCCUCCAAACUGCUUUGCUUGAGGCCGGGAGAGGCGAGUGGAAUUCCCAGUGUAGCGGUGAAAUGCGUAGAUAUUGGGAGGAACACCAGUGGCGAAGGCGGCUCGCUGGACCGGUUCUGACGCUGAGGCGCGAAAGCGUGGGGAGCAAACGGGAUUAGAUACCCGUGUAGUCC
RNAcentral lists this ribosomal RNA (449 nucleotides) under uncultured bacterium. RNAcentral's name for it is "bacterial SSU rRNA". It matches the Rfam family "Bacterial small subunit ribosomal RNA", at positions 355 to 796 of the family's 1533-position model. The record is from RNAcentral.